CCCAGGUGCCUCUCCUCUCCAACCCCCCCCCCCAUCCUCUCUGCUCAGCCUGUCUAGUGUCCCUGCUGGAGCAUCCAGAGCCCCUGUGAGGUGACGUUUGCUGGGAGAGCACAGGGCCCUGCAUCCCCAUGCCGGUGUCCCUCCUGAGCCCUCGUGGCUCCAGGCCUGGAACUCAGCUGAAUCUGAGCCUCUUCAGGCCCCUCACUGGCCUCUGGGCCUCGAGUCCAUGGUGACUUUGGGUGACUGACCCUCACUGGGCCCAGCAGCUCCGGUUUGUUCAGGGGCAUCUCCCUCUGGAGCAGGGACCCUGGUCCGUAUCUAGUCCCCACUGAGAACAACCUGGAGCUUUUAGAGAGUGCUGGCACUUGUCGGGGAUGCCCAGGCCAGUGUUGGCAUUUGCUUUUCUCAACUUCCCCAGGUGAUCCUGGAACCAGAGGGCUGGGUGUUGCUGGGACCCUCAUCUGCUGGCCCGUGUCCCCGAGGUUCCUUGGGCCUGGGGAGCAAGUCUUCCCUAGAAUUCUGCCUCCUCUGUACCUCUGUGCCCCUGCACAGGACCGUGCUGUGUCUUUGCUCUUUGAACUCAGUGUGUGGCCCUGCCCCUGGGACCUUGGCCCACGUCAUCUGGGUGGCAGGUGGCAGGUGGUGGUGGUUGUGUUACUCCUGGACCUGCAGGGGAGAAGCUGCAGAUUCAGGACCUGAUGCCCUUCUGGGCAUUGCCGGGAGGUAUGAUUUAAAGAUAAAUUUAUAUCCGAUAUGAAAAACAGGACUUUACAAAUGUCGUGUCUGCACGUGGUGACUAUGUGAGCAAACAAAGAAUGAGGGGGCCACUCUCCUUCCCUCUGCUCUCCUCACACCCCUCUGGGCCCUCCCCAGAGCAUCAGCCCCUCAUGGUCUUCUGGGUCCCUCCUGGGAUUCCCUGUCACAGCCUUGUCCCCCUGCCUCCUGUCCACCUCCUCAUGGGGUGGCGGGAGGUCCCCUUGGCUUCUCUGGGUCUCCUUCUGUUACAGUCACUGAGCUGCUCUCUGACCCCGGGAGAGAUUUCUGGUCAGGAGUCGGGUGUGUUUGCAUGGGGACGGACAUGGUGGCUCCGGGGACGUGUGUUGGGCUGACGUUUUGGAUGGGGGCUGUGUCACUGUGUGUAUAGUAGAAAGUAUCACCAUAGUCAUCAUCACGGUGACACAGGCCCCCACAAAAUCCUCCGCCUGGCCCUGUGUCCUCUCCCUUCUGUUGGCUCAGGCAGGCUCUGUGGGAACAGCCUGAGUUUCCGGUGGUUACUGUUCUGAACAUCUGGGGUGAGUGGGGAAGACCGUCGGAGCCUCUGUGGGUCCAGGGGCGGCUCUGCACACGGCCUCCUGCGUUUGCUGGCUGGCAGCCCCGGGCACAGCCCUGUGUGGGAGGAUGAGGAGCACCGGCUCCCAGCGCAGGCAGCCCUGGAUCCCCUGCGGCCCGUGUGGCGGCCGGUUGCCUGGCUCGGAUUCUGGCUCUUUCUGUUCUGCUCCGGGCCCGUCUCAGGAACUGUCCCUGGUGUGGCCAAUGAGGGUCUGGCUCCCCUGCCCCCAUCUCGUCUCUGCUGGAAUUUGCUGAUGGGGUUGGUGUCCCACCCGUGAGUUUUCCUGUUGACAGGGGCCUGGGAUUGGCCGCCUAACUCCUGAGAGGCCAGCUCUCCGCAGUGAGCACCAGGAGACCCCCACCUUGUCUCUCCGCGCCCAGCUCGCAGGGCCGCCCCCACAUUCACAGGUGUCUCCCUAGUUGGGGGGUCUCUGAGCUGAGCUUCCCAGACACUCUCGUUCCCCGGCUCAGAGUGAGUGUGGACCUCCUUCCCAGAAACUCUCACGGCCCCCCCAGGGCCCCUGCCCACCGAGAGCACCUGUGUGCUCAGCCAGCCUCAGCCUUUGUCCUGGGAGCUGAAGCCCGGGCUGUCCGCUGUCCACUGUGCUGCCCUCCCGAGGGGCAGGGGGUCCCAGAGUGGCUGCAGUGAGGUCUACUGGCUGGACGGCUCUGUCUGCCUAUCCCACAGGAUUCCAGAGCCCCCGCCGUGUCCAGUGUCUCAGGGCCGUGACAGGUGGGCUGGGUCCACUUCACAGGGCCCAUGAUGUGGAUGCCCAGGCGAGUCUGGUGCUCAACCUAGAGCAUGAGAGCUGCUGUGGGCACUGGACUUGGCCUAAGGGGCUCACGGACACCUGCUUCCGCAUGGGAUCCAAAUAGAGUGGGUGCCGAGUUCAAUGGGCCCUGGUCUUCCAGGUCAGAUAUUCACUCAGUGAGCCUCAGGGGCCUUCACAUUGGUCUAAGUGAUGGAAACAGACUCAUUGUCACUAUUGACAGCAGGGACAGAGUGACUCCAUCUGGGUUUGCACAGAGGAUACAGGCGUUUUAGAGGGAGAGUGAGGGGCAGGGAGGGGCCGAGUGGGGCUCCAGUGAGGACUCAGGAAGGGUGGUCCAUGAGGACGCCCAGUGCUCUGUCCACUGGCCAGCAAUGAAGUGUCAGUUUCUGUCCUCACAGAGACUGGGGGACCCAGGGCCCGUCCUUCCUGGUGGGUCCGUCUCUGAGGAACAGGUCCAGGUCCUGGAUGGAGACGUUCCUGGGUUGUGGGGACACACGCCCCUCACAGGGCAGAGGCAGGAUUCUCAGUAAAUGCUCCCAGGAGGGGGGUCGGGCUGAGUCAGGUGUCGGCUGGAACAGAGGGCAAAUUCUCCUGCAGCACUGGGCUGUCUCAGGCCGGGCUUUCAGGGGUCUGGGGUCUUCGUGGGACGCUGGCUUGGGCUGCCAGAAGCCCUGCAGGGGUGCAGUGGUCUCUUGGUGCGGGGGUCUGGAUGGAGACUCCCGGCCUGGGCUCUGGGAUCUCGGUGCACCCGCACGUGCAGAGCGUGGCUGUCAGGAGAGGCCUCAGGUUCCAGCCUUCAGGGGCCCAGGUCUCUGGGAGGGGGCAUUGCAGGAGGUCUGAGCUGUGGGUAAGACGGAGGAGUGGUUUGCUAAGUGUCUCCCAGGGCUGAGGGCAGGUAGGGCUGAUGCUCAAGCCCUUUGGGAAAAGUGUCACCAGGAUGGAUGACCACUCAAGUGAGGUGUCAGUGCAGUUGAACCGUGACAGACACGUCCCAGCACUGGGGUCUCUGAGGCUGGUGCUGCUGCCACUGUGUUCCCGGGGGCCGGCGCCUGGUUAGGAGCCGGGUCCUCAGCAAACGUUGGGCAGGAGGUGAAGGGGUGCCGGCUCCUCUGAGGGGUUUCCCUGGAGAGAAACUCACUGUGGGUGGAUAUAUAGCAGGGGGCGCCUCCUGGCAGUGACCUCAGCGAGACCCCUGGAGCAGGAGCCUGCACAAGCCCGCUCCUGGGAGAGGCUCCCGGAGCCCUCUUGGGCCAGGCCAGGAUCGGACCCACCUGCCUGGGAUCCUCAGCUGACUGGGAGGUGUCCGACCCCAUGACCCCUGCCCUGCCUCUCUCAUUGGGUGAGCUCCUGUGCAGCCAAGCACAGGCCCAGCUCUGGCGUCUGCUUCUGUCACCCUCCCAGAGGGCCUCUGGGGUCCUGUUGGGCGCUUACCUCUGGUGGUUUUGCCCAGUACUGUCCUUCCUGAUUCCUUUGGCUGGUGGUGUUGAGAACAGGGCAGUUUCUGCCAGCCUGCCAGGCUCUGGGCAUGUGGCUGUGGGUCAGUGUGGUCACAGAGCCCUCAGAAGCCCCCAGCUGUGAGGGCUGUGCCUGGACACAAACCCCUGGGCUGAGUGGUUGGGAGUGGCCCUGGAGGCCGAGGGUCUGGGCUCUGAGCCUUGAGAGCAGCCACUCCUGGCAUUGAGGCCCAGGGGUUCCCAGCAGGUUUUUUCUGCCGGAUCUGUCACUGUGGUUACCCCAGCCAUAGUAACACAGUAGGAAGGUCCUUGACAAAAAGCCCUGUGUGUGGCAGGCGGGCCCCUCUCUUCUGAGGGUCCCAUGGGUCCAGCAUGGCCCAUCUACACAGAUGCCCAGUGCAUCUCUCUUCGUCAGGAUGGUGAGCAGUGGGUGGUCUGGCUGCCACCCUCACCCCUGUCUCCCCAGGAAGGGCGUGUGUGACCCCUGCUGAAGGGAUGGGCAGAGGCAAGCGUCCAGGACUGGGCGCCAAGAGGCCAUGGAGAGCACGCCAGGUCCUUUUACUAUCCAGGCAGAGCUGGGCAGAUGGAUUUGCACCAGAGGGCCACCCUGUCUCCUACAGGUGGUCUCACACUGGCUUGGGGUCCAUGACCUGGUCUGGCUGAGGCCUGGCCUGAGUCAGGGUGUCGGUUCCUGGAAGAUCCUUGUGUCCAAGACUGCAGUGAGGGUCCUCAGUGGGUUUGCCAGUAAGGUUGAGUUCGGGUCAGGCUGAAGAGGCCGCUGGGCCAUGGAUUCGGUCCAGCCAGGCAGUUCCCAGGGAUGUGGGCACAUGUGUCCACGCCUCCUCCUGAAAGAAACGUUCCCCAAAUCAAAUUCAAUCAGCUGCCCCUGAGGGGGAGCCCCGCCCACCUUCCUGGGACCACCAGGCAGGGUCCCAACCCACUUAGGGCAACUCAUGUGAAGAAGGUGGAAUGGCAUGUGGGGUGGUGUGGGGUGCGGGGUGGUGUGGCAGUGGGGUUCUGUGGCAUGCCGUGUUCACUGGGUGUGGGGUUUUGUUGGGUACAGGGUGCUGUGGUAUGGGGGAUGUUGGAUUGGAGUUUGUGGUGUGCAGGUUGGUGUGGUGUGUUGGGUGGUAUGGGGUUUGGGAUGGUGUUCGGUAUGCAUUGCUGUAGGGUGUGGGGUGCUGUGGGUAGUGUGUGCGGGGUGCUGUGUGGGGUGUGUGGUGCGGGGCGCACAGUGGCAUUGGGUAAGUGUGAUGUGACCAAGUGGCCCAAUGGCCACAGUGCUGGGGUAGUACCAGCUCAUGGUUCCAGCCCCACCUUCCUGUUGUCCCUGUCCAGCCAGAGGGGCUCAGAGGUCCUCUCAGAGAGGGGUCUCUGUGCCUUCCAGCCUUGACCCUCAUGUGUCCUGAAGGAGGGAGCUUCCCGAGCUGCUGGCUGGAUCCCAGUGGACGGUGGCUUUGGGGCCCUCCUGGUCUUGGGAGGGCCCUCAGGGGUGCCCUUUGGAGGGAGGCCUGGCUGCAAUCUGGGCGGCUUCGGCUCAUUGACUUCACGGUCCGAUGGGCUAGGACAGGAGCCUGGCGGUGGUGACUGCUGCCGUGUCAGGGAAGCUGGGGGCUGUGGGCCUUCCGUGUGCCUGUAGCCCCAGCAGGUGUGGGUUCUGGCUGCACUGCUGUGGGAGUCACCGUACCUGUGGGAUGUGGCCCUGCUCAAAAUCCUGGGCACAGCGUCACGGCCUCUCGAGGACAGAGAUGGGAUUUUUGAUGGACGCUGUGACUCUGUGGUUGUAAUUACUCUAUCCAGGAGAAUAAUACCACAGUGACACAGCCCCGCCCCGAAACCCCUCCGAGAGGUGUGGUGAGUGGGAAUCCGGGUUGUAGAGGCUGACCUGUGCAUGGAGGCAGAGCCCUGGGGAGGCUGUGGGUGGGCUCAGCACAUGGGUGUCCUGCUGGGAGCAUGAGGAAACUCCCCUAGCAGGUGCACAGCUGCCACGCCCAGCGCUGUCCUGACAUAUCAGGCUGGCGUUUGUGCUCAUUUUGCUGACCAUAGUGGCUGCUGGGAACAAGGGAGCUGGCUGUCCAGCCUUUGAGCUGGAAAUGUUCCCAGACUCAUCUUCCAGAAUGUUCUGCCUCUGUCUUUCUGUGGAGGCAGCUGCGGGUUUCUCAGGCUGGAAAGCAGUGUAGCGGUUUGUGGGCGGGUGUGCUGGUGAGCAAAGGAUUCUGUGCAGACAAGAGAUAGGUGGUGCUGUCGCUCAUCACACCCUGUGGGUGGCCACGGGCCUGCGGUCCCUUGGGAGUAACUGAUAGACAGGCAGGCGUCAGCAAGUUAUGGGUCCCCCAUGCCACAAUGCUAAACAGGAAGGGUGGAGCUCUGUGAGUGUCAGAUGUGCUGUGAGGCUGGUGGGAGUGGGGUUGUCACGUGGGAGCCUGAGAGUGCACGGCUUCCUGCUCACUGUCUGCGCAGGAGCCAGGCCCUGGGGGGAGGAGGAGGCGGCCCGGUGCACACGUGGGCUCCCGUGUCACUGUGCUGCAGGCGUGGGACACCCGUGCAUCUCUGGGCUGCAGGAUGGGGAACUGACCAGUGGCCCGGCCCAGCAGGCUGACCCUUUGGAAAGGACCUCUUUUGGGGGCAUGGUGUCGCCAGCUCCCUCCUGGGACUUAGAGGUGAUAUUGUGACACUGAGGACAUGCUGCGCCUGUCACCCUCGCUGCUGGGAGCUCUUGGCAGGAGGUCCGCGCAGCUGCGCUGAAGAGCGUCCCUGCAGACACUGACCCAGGCAGGGUGAGGCACCUGCCACUGUCUCUAGAGCGUGAGACGACAGCCUCUCUGCACAGACUGGGCAGGGCUGCGGGCGUGCAGCCGUUCUGCGGACUCGGCGGGGGCGCAGGUGUGUGGAGAGAGGCCGGGACACACAUGGGGCCCACGGCGGAUUGACUGGAUUGGGACUUCGGUUCACGAAGGGAGUCCUGCCCUUUCUGGUGAGACAGCCACAGGCCGUCUUUUGCUGCGUGCUGGAUGAGCUACAAACCGUCCCUCGUUCCUCCUUGAAGUCUCUGUCCCGAGAGCUGGACAGAAGUUGGCCUCCUAGACUUCAUUUAUGACUUUGGCUCUUUGCUGACGUGCAAAUUAGCCCGCGUGUCUGUCUGGGAGCUUGGGAUCAUGAUAAAGCUAACGUUCCUGGGAGUCCUGGAGCAGCUCCCGCUGCAGUGAAGUCUGAAAGCUCCCAUGGAGGCCCCCUGGGCCCCAGUCGAAUGAACAGCUCGAGUCCUGCUGUGGUUAAAUGAGGCAGCGUGUCCAGAGCACUGGGAUCGCGGCCGCCAUGUGGGCACGGUGGCCGCUGGACAGAGAGCCCCAGGAAGGAAGCAGCGUCCCUGCAGGAGCACUGAGAAGAGAGGUGGACGCACCUGCUGCCAGUGGACCACCAUGGGCCUUCGCCUGGGAGCACCACCUUGUGGGGACCGCGGGAACAGGACCAGGGGGCAUGUCACCUCCAGCUCGAGGGUGUCAUGCUGUGUUCUGCUCCUGGGCCCAGAGGGUCAGCGGUGCGGCUGUGAAUUUCCUGGCUGGGCAUCGGCUCCACAAGCCUUGGUGCCUUUCGGGGGCGGGCGCACCUCCCCGACGGGGAGCCGGGGGUGGGGGCCGACAAGUCAGGUGCAGCAGACGAGGGGCAUUCUGGGUGGAGGGACGUGGUGGCAAUAAUCUCACAAGAACAGCUUGCAUGGGCUGAGGGCUUGGUGCAGGCUGGACACCGCACUCUGAAGCACACCAUUUCAUCUGGUCCUGAGUGCUGAUCCACGGGGGCCAUCAUCAUCAUCAUCAUCAUCAUCAUCAUCAUCAUCGUCUUCAUCUUCCCGCUGUGUGGACAGAGAGCCUGAGGCACAGGCAGUGAAGGAACCGGCAUGAGACCACCUGUUGGUGGCAGAGCCAGGUUUCUCUGGAAGGAGGGUGUUGUGUGUAGGUGACACGGCAGGUGGAUGGUUAGAGCUCGCCCUGACAGGCGAUGGAGCAGCGUUUGGGUCUGGCUGACCAUGUGUGGACAGUGGGAAGAGGCUCGUGGAGUCCAGGGCAGGGAUUCACAGUGUGUUCAGGCUCAGAGUGUGGACGCUGGAGCGUUGGGUCUGCCCUAGUCCCUGAGUCCUGGGUCUGGACGGUGCCAUGCUGGACGGAGGAUGCACCAUGUCCUGCCGUCUGUGCCCAGUGGUGUGACUGUGGGAACAGCACAGGUGUCUAUCUGCCACCUGUGGGGCUGGUGUCCACUCGUCUAUAGGCGUCCCUGUUGGGACGACCACGGGGGUUUGGGGAGAACGGACUUCUGCCCUCAUCUCCUGCAGGUCACCUCCAGAGCCACAAGGGGACCACUCCCUGGGCCCUAGGCUGAGUGGCGUGGCCAGUCCUGGCAGCCCCAGUGCAGAGUGGACUUUCCUUCUGGGGCUGUGGCUUGAUGAGGCUCUGCACCCCCCUCCAAUUGUCCCUGGCAGUCCCCAGCCCGCAGUGACUGUGGUGACCACAGUGCUGGCCCCCAGAGUGGUGACAGAGUUGGCGUCUAUGAUGGUGAAGGGUGGCCGAGCCCAGGAGGAGGUUGCGAGCCUGUGGUCGAGACAGCAAAGCCCUCCUGAUUUUGAGGAGUUGUUUUUGGGGAGUGACAGGCGGACAAAAUCAGUGACCCCCUUCUGGAACAUUCCUCCUCCACACUUCCACUUGGACCCCAGCCUUUGGCCAAUAUCCCCCCUCUCCAACUACCCCCAUUCACCCCUGGGGGUCUCACUUCCUGGAGCCAUGGUGGAGUUGGGUAAGUAUUUCUGGAACCUUCCAUCUUUGAGCUUUAAAAACCUUCUGAAGAUUUUAAGUGUGUUGACCCCAAGGAAUUGUGGAGAAAUUGAGGAGGGGCACAAGCCACAUGGUGAGCAGCCAGUCUGCAGAGCGCAGGGGCCGUGACGUGAGGGCUGGGGAUAGCCUCUCCUGCUGGCCUCCGUGGUUUGACAAACAAGAAUGACCGGAACCUUCCAUGGGGACUCCUGAGAAACCUAGGAUGGAGAGCAGGCGCACACAGCACAGAUGGACACGUGCGUGUGCACACACACUCACACACACACACACAUGUGCACAGCAUCCACCUUAACAGGAACAGGAGAAAGUCUGAGAAUAAGCACA
Long non-coding RNA from Equus caballus (horse), 8703 nucleotides. RefSeq lists it as uncharacterized. The record is from RefSeq and is a predicted model, not a curated record. NCBI's taxonomy places the organism in Eukaryota, Metazoa, Chordata, Mammalia, Perissodactyla, Equidae.